Molecule: ribosomal RNA, 430 nt
Filed under: Solanum tuberosum (potato)
Lineage: Eukaryota; Viridiplantae; Streptophyta; Magnoliopsida; Solanales; Solanaceae
Description: rRNA LSU_rRNA_eukarya
Rfam family: Eukaryotic large subunit ribosomal RNA
Source: RNAcentral
GGUAGUAGCAAAUAUUCAAAUGAGAACUUUGAAUGGUGAAAAGGGGAGAGGUUCAAUGUGAAUGGCACUAGCACAUGGGUUAGUCGACCCUAUGGGUCGAGGGAACCCAAACAGAUAAUGCAUUUCGUGGGUACCCCGAAAGGGAAUCGGGUUAAGAUUCCUGAACCGAGACGUGACGGUUGACGACAACGUUAGGAAGUCGGGAGAUGUCGGUGGGAGCCUCGGGAAGAGUUGUCUUUUCUGUUUAACAGCAUGCCCACCAUGGAAUCGGCUCUGCCGGAGGUAGGGUCCAACGGCUGGAACAGCACCAGACGUCACGUGCUGUCCGGUGCACUCCCGGCGACCCUUUAAAAUCCAGAGGACCGAAUGUUGUCUAUGCUCGGUCGUACUCAUAACCGCAUCAGGUCUCCAAAAUGAACAACCUCUAGUU